UGAGUAAUAUAUAGUUAAUCUGCCCUACACAGAGGAACAACAGUUGGAAACGGCUGCUAAUACCUCAUACUCCUAUUUGACAUAAGUUAAAUAGGGAAAGUCUUUUCGGUGUAGGAUGAGACUAUAUCGUAUCAGCUAGUUGGUAAGGUAAUGGCUUACCAAGGCUAUGACGCGUAACUGGUCUGAGAGGAUGAUCAGUCACAUUGGAACUGAGACACGGUCCAAACUCCUACGGGAGGCAGCAGUAAGGAAUAUUGCGCAAUGGGGGAAACCCUGACGCAGCAACGCCGCGUGGAGGAUGACACUUUUCGGAGCGUAAACUCCUUUUAUCAGGAAAGAAUAAUGACGGUACCUGAUGAAUAAGCACCGGCUAACUCCGUGCCAGCAGCCGCGGUAAUACGGGGGGUGCAAGCGUUACUCGGAAUCACUGGGCGUAAAGGACGCGUAGGCGGAUUAUCAAGUCUUUUGUGAAAUCUAGUGGCUUAACCACUAAACUGCUUAGGAAACUGAUAGUCUAGAGUAGGGGAGAGGUAGAUGGAAUUCUUGGUGUAGGGGUAACUCCGUAGAGAUCAAGAAGAAUACCCAUUGCGA
This 591-nucleotide ribosomal RNA is filed under the name uncultured Campylobacterota bacterium. RNAcentral's name for it is "bacterial SSU rRNA". It matches the Rfam family "Bacterial small subunit ribosomal RNA", at positions 107 to 718 of the family's 1533-position model. The record is from RNAcentral. Lineage: Bacteria; Pseudomonadati; Campylobacterota.